UCGAGGGGAAACGACAUCGAAAGCUUGCUUUUGAUGGGCGUCGACCGGCGCACGGGUGAGUAACGCGUAUCCAACCUGCCCACCACUUGGGGAUAACCUUGCGAAAGUAAGACUAAUACCCAAUGAUAUCUCUAGAAGACAUCUGAAAGAGAUUAAAGAUUUAUCGGUGAUGGAUGGGGAUGCGUCCGAUUAGCUUGACGGCGGGGUAACGGCCCACCGUGGCAACGAUCAGUAGGGGUUCUGAGAGGAAGGUCCCCACAUUGGAACUGAGACACGGUCCAAACUCC
This 287-nucleotide ribosomal RNA is filed under the name uncultured Prevotella sp. RNAcentral describes it as "partial 16S ribosomal RNA". It matches the Rfam family "Bacterial small subunit ribosomal RNA", at positions 62 to 339 of the family's 1533-position model. Lineage: Bacteria; Pseudomonadati; Bacteroidota; Bacteroidia; Bacteroidales; Prevotellaceae. The record is from RNAcentral.